Chinchilla lanigera (long-tailed chinchilla) is the source of this 228-nucleotide long non-coding RNA. RefSeq lists it as uncharacterized. Lineage: Eukaryota; Metazoa; Chordata; Mammalia; Rodentia; Chinchillidae. The record is from RefSeq and is a predicted model, not a curated record. The transcript is spliced from 4 exons.
CCGAGGCUCCCGGCACUUCCUGCCGCCGCCAUUUUGUCAAGUGAGGAGGAGGAGGAGGAGGAGGAAGCGGCGGUCGCGGGAGCGGCGGCGACCCCGGCACGGCUUCAACCAGGGAAAGAGGAGUCUCUUGGAUGGUUUCCAUUGAUCAACUCUAGAAGAGGAAGCCUCAUCUGGAGCCAGUUGCAUUGCUGCCUUGUUCUUCCUUUUACUGGGUGCCUGGUGAAGAAU